CUGCAGGAGCAGUAUGACGCGUUACUACAGAUGUACGGCGAGAAGGAGGAGCAGUUAAGCGAGGCGCGCCUCGACCUCGCCGACGUCACCGCGCUCUACAAGGCGCAGCUCGCCGACCUGGUCACUCUGAGACAGCAGGCCAGGUAGCCGCCCAUCGCCAGCGCUUCGAGACCAACAUUUGGCAAGUGCUGAGAAGAGAAGAACCGCCCACCAGCCCCGCCCAUGCAGGCAUACAGCCGGUUUUGAGAUCUCCACACUACCAUUAACUAUGGUUCUAUAGUCUGGUCCGUGAGCACGUAGAAUUUUGUCCAAUGACCCCAAGCUACCCAUCCUUAUCGCUCGCGUGUAAUUAUGUUGAUAUCGCGCUCGCACACUCACUGCGGGUGCCAGUCGCACAGUCGCGACAACAAUAUAAUUACGCGCGAGCGAUAAGGAUGGGGUAGCUAGGGGUCAUUGGACAAAGUUCUACGUGCUCACAGACCGGGCUUUAGCGCUUGACUCACGUCUGUGCAUGAGAUAUGGGAGCGGCACGGGGUGACGUUGACGUAAUUAUUAUGACGUGACCGAGCGUACAGAUCAGUACGGCUA
This is a long non-coding RNA of Ostrinia nubilalis (European corn borer), 588 nucleotides long. RefSeq lists it as uncharacterized. The record is from RefSeq and is a predicted model, not a curated record. The transcript has 2 exons. Lineage: Eukaryota; Metazoa; Arthropoda; Insecta; Lepidoptera; Crambidae.